This is a non-coding RNA of Bombyx mori (domestic silkworm), 132 nucleotides long. The record is from RefSeq and is marked provisional. NCBI's taxonomy places the organism in Eukaryota, Metazoa, Arthropoda, Insecta, Lepidoptera, Bombycidae.
GGAGUAUUGCUAACACUGGUCCUAGCAAAAGCAGUGCUUCGCAGAAUCUACGACCGGAUUGGAAAUGCGACCCACUGAGAAGAUCCGGCGAGAAGCUCGGUGUGCUGCUUGGAAUAGUUCUACGUAUACUUA